AUGGGACGAUUCUCCCUUUGAGCAGACCUCAUCCUGUGUUGUCUGCUUGCACGGGUGCUCUGUUAACAGGCCUCUACGGAGUGUGGAGUCUCUUUACCAUGCCCGGCUUCCGCAAAAUCCCAUCCAAUCUGAAGAUAAAGAAAAUAUGCUGAUCUGGAGGUGAUUGUUCUUAAGUGCCAUAUUUGCCCUCCAGUAAAGAGCAGACGCUAAACAUUAUGAAACUGCUUGAGGGCCGCACUGGUCGCUUAGCAGAUCUGGGAUCAGGAGAUGGGAGACUGGUGGGUAAGACCCUCUGCCUAAAUUAGUUGUAUGCAUUUUUGUGCGACAUAUCCAUACUGUCCUAUUUUCUGGUGGUAGCACAUCACCUUGGGCUUGUUUCGAAGCAGAAUUUGUCCGCAAUCAAUUGCAACCCAAAAUGAAAUGACAUAUAGCAUAUUGAUUGCAUUGGCUUGGCAGCAGAAGUCUACGCCUCCCAUCAAAGUUGAGAAAGCACAGGGGGUCACAGUAACAAUAAGCCAGACAGACACACUGUAAGGAAAUGACUCCAGAAUUAGCACAGUAAAGAUUAUUUGAGAAAAUGUCCGGCAUCAGCCUGUUGUCAUGCAUGCCAUCAUCCUUCAGAAGUGAGCAGUAAAAGAUUAAUUUUAUACAUAUUUCACUUUUUCAUUGGCUUCUCCGAACCCUCAUUAAGUUGGGUUGUUAAAAAAAAAAAAAAAAAAAAAAAAAAGAAUAAACAGUAACAUGUGUAAGGCAAACCGUUUUGUGUUUACAAUUUAAAGGCGUUAACUUCCUACUCACUUAAAAGCGUGGCACAGUUGCAACAAACACUUUUAGGCACCUUUGUCUUUCAUCAUUCAAGUUUGGUGUUUCAUUACUUUUACAUAUAGUCAGUGUCUAACAUCUUUUUACUCAUGACCUCAAUAUCAAAGACUGCUAUAAUACAGUUGAAAUAUUGCCUGUAAUAAUUAUAUAUAAAGAGCAGUGUCCCAGAGGCACACAUCCUACAUUCCCUUGUACGUUAUGUUCAUUCCAUAGGGGUUCAUGUGCACGUUCAAAAAUUGUGCUAUUUGUGUAUAGGAGGCUUGAAAUACUCUGAAGGUGUGAAUGUGAAACGGAAUGAUUGUUGACCUUUGCUGAUUGCGGUGCAGUCCAGGGAUAUAUAAAUUUAAACUAUUAUCAGACUUAUGGUAAUUUGAUUUUGUAAUGUUUCAGGUGUUUGCUGCCUCGUCUGCUGGCUUUAAGUGUACAGGGUUCGAGAUUAACUCCGUUCUUGUCACAUAUGCCAGGUCAAAGGCCAGCUGGAACGCAGUGCCUUCUAGCCAGGCUGUCUUUGUUAAGAAAGACUUUUGGAGGGUAAAUACAUGGAUGGGCAUGUUUGUUGUGUAAGGCUUUUUGUAUUAACAUUUUGUUUCAUUUUAUUAUAGAUUGAUUUAUCACAAUAUGACAAUGUGACGGCUUUUCUCGCUCCAGGAGCGGUGAGUUAAGUUUAUGGUCAUUGUGGAGCAGACGUGUGUAGUAACGCGUUACAUUUACUCCGUUACAUUUACAUGAGUAACUUUUUGAGAAAAAUGUACUUCCAAGAGUAGUUUUACUAAGCUAUACUUUUUCCUUUUACUUGAGUAGAUUUUUGAAGAAAAAAACGCUACUCUAAUGGCUGAGUUACGCUUCUGUGGCAGACCUACGCCGCCAAGACAGACCCGAUUUACGACCCUUCGCCGUCGCCUGACGUACUGUACAUCUCCUCAAUUUUCUGACUUUGCGUCACGUCAACGCCUGGAGACAUGGCGCAAGUGGACUGUGGUUGGUCCGCUCAGACUGUUGUUUCCGGUUCAGCGCGAAAUCGCCGCCAUUUUCAAACGUUGUUGUGCUACACGAAAAAGUGGACCAAGCCGACAAGAGUAUCAUCACAGAGGUCCGCAAGAACGACAACCUCUACAAUGUCUCGUGAAGACAUUAUAAAGAUUGCCAAAUGGCAAACAAUUCGUGAAGAUCCACAUUCAAGCGUUCCCUCUGGCAUUGUUUAUUUUUUUUUCUCUUGACAUUGAUUAACCGGAAAAAAACUAGAGGAAGUCGACAAGCGUCCCCCAAAACCGUACAAAUACAAUGCCACACCCCUCUAGUGGCUUGGCGGUGAAUUACAGAGCAACGCGUUCCCUUGCCGCAGAACUAUCGAAGAAGCAUAACUCAGGCUUUACUCUGCUACUUCGGGCUACACAAGAGUCGUUACAUUUUUCCUCUUUAUUCUACAUAUUAGAUUUAUUUUAUUAUUAUUAUUAUUUUUUUUUUUUUUGCUAGUGAUGCUAUUGCCAAGAGUAACGCUACUAAUUUCAACAAUGACACGUUGCAACAAUAAUCACAUGACUCCAUUACACCAAUCAGAUGCAAGCUUGCCGUUCUAUGAUCACGCAAGACUGAUCCGGCGAUACAGUGUAUCACAAACGAGUGCUGUCAGCAUUGCUGAAGAGAUUGAAGAGGUGGAGGGUCAGCCUGUUAGUGCUCAGACCAUAAGCCGUACUCUACGUCAAACUGGUCUUCUGAAGAUUGUUCACAAGAAAGCCCACAAACAGUUUGCUGAAGACAUGCCAACAAAGCACAUGGAUUACUGACACCAUGUCCUAUGGUCUGCUGAGACAAAGAUUAAUUUGUUUGGUUCCGAUGGUCUCAGGCAUGUGUGGCGGCGACCAGGUGAGGAGUACAAGGAUAAGUAUGUCAUGCCUACAGUCAAGCAUGGGGGUGGGAAUGACCCCCCCCCCCACAUCUUCAAUCUCUGCAGCAAUGCUGACAGCACUCCUGUAACAAGUCACAUGACAUUUUGGAGGGAGACUGACAAUCACUUUUGUUGCCAGAGGUUUAGAUAUUAAUGGCUAUUUGAGUUAUUGUGAGGGGAAAAUAAAUUAACUCUAUUUCAUAAGCUGCACACAGACUACUUUUCAUUGUGUCAAAGUGUCAUUUUGUCAGUGCUGUCCAAUGAAAAGAUAUACUUAAAUAUCUGCAGAUAUGCGAGGGGUGUACUCACUUUUGUGAUACACUGUAUGAUCCUUUUAAUUUCAUAAUAGUGACUAUGAAGGAAAUACAGUAUUCACUACUCAAACUAAGAACUUUUUUCUCCACUAGAGGGCAGGGCACUCAUGCUCUUUGGGCAAAUAAUGCUUCAUUAGGCAAGGCAAGGCAAGGCAAAUUUAUUUAUAUACCACAAUUCAACACAAGGCAAUUCAAAGUGCUUUACAUCACAUGAAAACCAUAAAAAUCACAUUUAAAUCAACACAACGUAAAAACCAAGACAAAAGAUCGCAUUUAAUCACAGAAUAAAAAUAAAUAAAUGAAAAUAAAACAAAAAUAGAAAUAAAGCCAAAACUACUACUAAUAAUAAUCAUUGAAAUCAGCAAUGGAGAUAUGCACAAGAGGAAUAGAAGGCAGGUAGAUUGAAAUAUAUAGACAGUUAUGGAUAUGCAGUGCUAAACAAAAGCGUUUUUAGCCCUGAUUUAAAGGAGCUAACGGUUUGAGCAUACUUCAGACGUUCGGGUAACUUGUUCCAGAGGUGAGGAGCAUAAUAACUAAAUGCUGCCUCACCCUGCUUGGUUCUGGUUCUUGGAACAUGCAGAAGACCCGUUCCAGACGACCUUAGGGGUCUAGAUGUCUCAUAGGAAUCUAACAAGUCAAGCAUGUAUUUUGGUCCAAGGCCAUUAAGUGUUUUGUAGACGAGCAGUAGUAUUUUAUAGUCUAUCCUUUGACUCACUGGAAGCCAGUGUAGCGAUUUCAAAACCGGUGUAAUGUGGUCCAGCUUCCUUGUAUUUGUGAGGACUCUGGCUGCAGCAUUCUGUACUAGCUGCAGCUUCCUGACUGAUUUUUUAUCAAGACCUGUAAAUAUACCGUUGCAGUAGUCCAAUCUGCUGAAAACGAAUGCAUGCAUAAGUUUUUCCAUGUCUUGUUGAGUCAGAAGCCCCUUAAUUCUGGUUAUAUUUUUUAGGUGGUAAUAAGCGGAUUUAGUGACGGACUUUAGAUGGCUAUCAAAUUUUAGGUCUGAGUCAAUAAUUACGCCAAGGUUUCUGACUUGAUUUGUAGCUGUAAGUGACAUUGUGCUAAGUUGGCUGCUUAUCUUUGACCUUUCCUUUUUUGGCCCAAAAAUGAUCACCUCUGUUUUCUCCACAUUUAACUGGAGAAAAUUCUGGCACAUCCAUUCAUUGAUUUGAUGAAUGCAUUUACUCAGGGAGACUAAGGGACUAUAAUCAUGUGGGGACACAGAAAUGUACAGUUGUGUGUCAUCUGCAUAGGCGUGAUAGGAGAUGUCAUACUGUUCCAUUAUCUGAGCUAACGGAAGCAUAUAGAUGUUAAAUAAGAGUGGUCCAAGAAUUGACCCUUGAGGGACUCCACACGUGAAUUUGGUUCGUUCUGACUGAUAAUUUCCGAUUGACACAAAGAAAUCCCUAUCAUGUAAAUAGGAUGUGAACCACUGAAGAAUAGUGUCAGUAAGCCCUACCCACUGUUCCAAUCUGCUGAGUAGUAUGUUGUGAUCAACCGUGUCAAAUGCGGCGCUGAGAUCCAAUAGUAGCAGAACAGAUGAUUUGCCUGCAUCGGUAUUCUGACGAAUAUCAUUUAGGACUUUGAUAAGCACGGUCUCGGUGCUGUGUUGUGGCCGAAAUCCAGACUGAAAUGAGUCAAAAAGAUUGUUUUGGAUCAUAAAAGUCUGGAUCUGUUCAAACACAACCCUUUCGAUAAUUUUCCCCAGGAAUGUCAGAUUUGAUAUUGGCCUGUAAUUACUAAUGGUUGAGGCAUCCAGAUUAGGUUUUUUUUAGGAGAGGUUUUAUUACUGAAGUUUUUAAAGUCUGAGGAAACUCUCCUGUUUGGAGGGAAGUAUUUAUAAUCUGAAGUAUGUCUGGGGCUAUGCAAUGAAAAACAGUUUUGAAAAAGUUUGAAGGAAGGAUGUCAAGGCAGCAUGUUGUGGGCUUUAGUUUCGACACAAUUUCUGUUAAAGUGGCAUAGUCCAAGAGGCUAAACUGUCUAAGAUUGACGUGGGGGACAUGUUGGGAGGCAUUUAGUGUAACAUUUGUUAAUCCGGAGUUGCACACAGUCUGUCUAAUCAUUAGUACUUUGUGUGUAAAAAAUGCUGCGAAAUUAUUACAGGACACCUCAGAUGCCAAUUCCUGAGGUAUUGAUGCUUGUGGGUUUGUCAGUUUGUCAACAACAGAAAAUAGUGUGCGAGUAUUGUUGGUGUUUCUACUAAUGAUCUCUGAAAAAUAUGAUUGUCUAGCAUUUUUCAGUUCCUGGUUGUAUUUGCGAAGACUCUCUUUGUAGAUAUCAUAAAAAACUAGGAGUUUGUUUUUUCGCCAUCUGCGUUCUGCUCGUCUACAAACUUGCUUUUGUUUUAUAGCUAGUAUGGCAUUUCUCCAGGGUGACCUCUUCUUUCUUGACAAAGUUUUUGUCUUAAUCGGGGCAAUAGUGUCCAUUACAGUCAUCACACUGGAACUGAAACUAUUUACAAGUUCUUCCACUGGAGCUAUUGUAGGGGUUAAUAAUGAGGCAUAGGCCUGUGUGAAUAACGCACAUGUGUUAUCACUUAAGUAACGCUUCCUAAUAAACUCUGUUUCCCUUUUCAGAGGAUGGACAGGGGUGGUCAUUUUAAACAUAAUGCUGUAGUGAUCAGACAGAGCAACAUCAUUCACUGUGACCUCAGAGAUGUUAAGACCUUUGGAUAUUAUUAAGUCCAGUAUGUGCCCUCUGUUAUGUGUUGGAACUGUGACAUGCUGAGAUAAACCAAAUGUAUCCAAAAUAUUUAAAAGCUCUCUAGCACAUCUUUCUUCAGGAUUAUCAACAUGAAUGUUAAAGUCACCCACUAAAACAACACAAUCAAAGUCCAUGCACACAGAAGACAGUAUUUUGGUAAACUCAUCAAAAAACAUUGUGUUAUACUUCGGUGGUCUGUAAAUUGUUACCAAGGCAGCUCUGCAAGGGCUUUUUAGCUGAAUGACAAUAUACUCAAAGGAAUCAAACUGACCACAUGAAAUAUUCGUGCAUUGAAAACUGUCCCUGAUCAGACUGGCAACCCCACCUCCUUUCUUAUGGGUUCUUGGCGCACUAAAGAAAUUGAAGUUUGCGGGGGUUGCCUCGAUCAGAACUGUCGAACUCUUAUCUUGAUCUAACCAAGUUUCUGUUAGGAACAACAUGUCAAGGUUAUGUUUGCAGAUAAAAUCAUUAAUUAAGAAAGAUUUGCCAGCUAAAGAUCUAAUAUUUAGCAGAGCCAAUUGGAGAUGCCAGACUGGAUUCACUGGUGAGCUUUGGGAAUGACAUACUAUGGUUAACAGGUUGGCAGAAUUUAUUGAACGUUUUUUAUUUCUCACCAGUCUAGCCCUUUUUUUGUUGUUUAUCACCACUGGGAUUGUUGAGCAUACAUACUGUACUCCAUAAGGCCCCGGCUUUUGCUGGGACAGAAAAGUCUUUGUAAUGUUGUCACAGCCUGGACCCGGUGCACAUCAUAUUGGUGUCGCAAACAUGGCUUCCUCCAUAGAAGGAUAAUACCGUGUAGUUCCAGAGUUGUAGUGCUUUGGCUUUGCCCCGAGAGAAUUCCAGUGGAGGCUGGUUGGUUUGUUGCCAUCUUCCCCUGGCACCUGUCGGGUGUGGCAGGUACAGGGUGGAAGCGAAGACAUGAACUUGAGGAGAUCAAGAGACUGGUUAACCUUGCUAUCUAGACCCAUGGAGUCCCAAUCAGGUUGACUCAUUAUUCCAUCCAAACUAAGUCGUCGGCGGGGUGGCUUCCGGGACUGUGGGGAUUUAGGCCUUGAUGAGGCCUUAGCCUGACUGAGUCGGCGGAGUGGUGGCGUCUUGGAGUGUGAGGAUUUGGUGCUGGAUGGGGCCUUAUCCUGGAGUCGGCGGCGUGGUGGCGUCUUGGAGUGUGAGGAUUUGGGGCUGGAUGGGGCCUUAGCCUGGAGUCGGCGGCAUGGUGGCGUCUUGGAGUGCGAGGAUUUGGUGCUGGAUGGGGCCUCGACAUUACCGUUUUUUUUUUUUUCUCUCUCUCUUUAAUUAUUAUUUAUUUUUUGUAUUUCUUUGGCUUAAUUUGGUCAUGUAAUGGGUUAUUGUACAGUAUCAUUAGAUGUGUUUGAGCAGAGAGAAAAAAAUACCAUUGUUUAGCAAAAACACACAAAAACAAGCAGUUACUCAAAAUGUUACUCAUUACUUGAGUAUUCUUUUCACUGGAUACUUUUUUAACUUGUACUUGAGUACAUUUUUUGGAUGACCACUUUUUAAGUAGUAUUAUUUUUAAGUAACGCUACUCUUACUUGAGUAAAAAUUUUGGCUACUCUACCCACCUCUGUUGUGGAGUAGCAGUGUGGCUGAUAUGACAUCAGGCUCAUAUGAUGGGUUGACAGAUGGAUGCACUUGGAGAGAAGCUGCUGAAAGAGCUCCCUGACAAUGCGCGUGUCAUAGCUUGCCGCUAUCCUUUCCCCUGCUGGCCUCACCAGUCGAGGCUUGGUUCAGGACUCAACCAGACGUGGGCUUACGACGUCGGUGCC
Molecule: RNA transcript, 7505 nt
Organism: Corythoichthys intestinalis (scribbled pipefish)
Lineage: Eukaryota; Metazoa; Chordata; Actinopteri; Syngnathiformes; Syngnathidae
Exons: 4
Source: RefSeq, a predicted model, not a curated record